RNAcentral lists this unclassified non-coding RNA (238 nucleotides) under Hevea brasiliensis (rubber tree). The record is from RNAcentral. Lineage: Eukaryota; Viridiplantae; Streptophyta; Magnoliopsida; Malpighiales; Euphorbiaceae.
UAUUUUGCAGCUAUAAGUCUCUUGAUGGAAAUAGUUCAGAUACAACUUUGAGAAGGGGAGAAGAAAAGAGUUGCACAAUAAAAUCACUUCAAAAGUUCAAAAUCGGUCAUCCAACUCCAGAAACAAUGGGAUGCCAAUUGGGCCCAAAGAAAGUUUGAAUACUUGUGAUAGAGAAGCCAAGCAGAGACUAGAGGAGAUGCAAGAAGUUUAUAUAAAGAGAAAAGCUUUGGAACAGAAG